This 87-nucleotide transfer RNA is filed under the name Patescibacteria group bacterium. Its description in RNAcentral is "tRNA-Ser". It matches the Rfam family "tRNA". From Rfam's summary of the family: Transfer RNA (tRNA) molecules are approximately 80 nucleotides in length. Their secondary structure includes four short double-helical elements and three loops (D, anti-codon, and T loops). The record is from RNAcentral.
GGUGAGGUGGCCGAGCGGCUGAAGGCGCACGCUUGGAAAGCGUGUAUACGGGUAACUGUAUCGAGGGUUCGAACCCCUUCCUCACCG